This 492-nucleotide ribosomal RNA is filed under the name uncultured bacterium. RNAcentral describes it as "partial 16S ribosomal RNA". It matches the Rfam family "Bacterial small subunit ribosomal RNA", at positions 29 to 507 of the family's 1533-position model. The record is from RNAcentral.
AGUGAACGCUGGCGGUAGGCCUAACACAUGCAAGUCGAACGGCAGCACAGUAAGAGCUUGCUCUUACGGGUGGCGAGUGGCGGACGGGUGAGGAAUACAUCGGAAUCUACUUUUUCGUGGGGGAUAACGUAGGGAAACUUACGCUAAUACCGCAUACGACCUACGGGUGAAAGCAGGGGAUCUUCGGACCUUGCGCGAUUGAACGAGCCGAUGUCGGAUUAGCUAGUUGGCGGGGUAAAGGCCCACCAAGGCGACGAUCCGUAGCUGGUCUGAGAGGAUGAUCAGCCACACUGGAACUGAGACACGGUCCAGACCCCUACGGGAGGCAGCAGUGGGGAAUAUUGGACAAUGGGCGCAAGCCUGAUCCAGCCAUACCGCGUGGGUGAAGAAGGCCUUCGGGUUGUAAAGCCCUUUUGUUGGGAAAGAAAAGCAGCAGGUUAAUACCCCGCUGUUCUGACGGUACCCAAAGAAUAAGCACCGGCUAACUUCGUG